AAUAAAAAGAAAAAGAAAAAGCAACUGGCCUACACACUGAAGCCUCUUGUCAACUAUGGCUAAUUCCUUAUUGUCUUGAGAGGUGCCGGGGCUUCUGCAUCCUUCCUGAGCUGCCCACUUCCCAGAGAACCUCCGGCCCUACGUGGAACUAAGUUACUGAGUCAAUUAUAGACCUGUUACAUUUCUUCAUCUCUCUCCCUCCCCCGCUUUUCCUUCUUCUUUGUAAAUGGAAUCUCGGGUGUAGUCUAGGCUGGCCUAGAACUCUCUAUUUAGCUGAGGAUGACCUUGUAGUAAUUAUCUUGCUGCCUCCCAUCUGCUGAUUGCUGGGAUUAUGGACAAGUACCACCACCAAGCUUGGUUUUAUGCACAGUUGGAGAUCAACACCCUCUCUGCCCCCCCACCAUGUUUAGAGCAUUCUAAUCAACACUCUACCAACUGAGCUCCAUCCCCAGCUGCCUGUGAAAUUUCAGUGCUGCAGAUGUCACAACCCAGUGUUCCAGGCAUUUCCGGCUCUCUGGAGCCUUCCACACAGGGAUUGUAGAAAAAAUAUGUGAACUCGCUGGGAAGAUCAAACAUUUCUUAUUUAUUCACAGGAGUGUGGGCUAGGAAUGGGGAGGCCCAGCCCACAGCCAGUGGAAGAGUGACAGCUUGAUCUCUGUGCAUUGUCUCUGUACUUGGAAUGUGCUGCUGCACCAGGGGCUGUGGCCUGGCGUGUUUAAUAUUUAAUUCACUCAUGGAGAAGCUCUACCAGGGUUAUACUGAACUGUUUCCUCAGAGGGUCUGAUACCAGGGAAACUCAAGAUGAUAAAGGCAAGGCUGUUAGUCCAGUCCUGUCUAGCAGGGGGAGAAUCUAACAUGCAGCCUGCUGUUAUUGACUGGAAAAUACUAUUUGGUCCAUCAGUCAUUGAUUUCUCCUCUAAGACAUCCCUUACCUUGUUAAGCUGGGAGGCUGUAGAGGUAAUACAGGCUAAGAAAGGGAGAAAGUGGAUACGUUAAAUGUUCUUAUAGGAAACUGACUGGUAUUUUUCCAUAAGGUAUUUGAAUUUAAGGCAAUGUAAGAACCCAGGUAAUAAGACAGUCAAAAAAUCAGGGAAGAAUCAUGCAUAGUAGCAUGCGUCUGGAAUCCCAGCCAUGCAGAAGAUGGAGGCAGAAUAGUUCAAGCCUAGGAGUUGAGACAAGCCUGACAACGUGAUGAGACCCUAUUUCGAAAAUAAAUAAACUCACAAGUAAAUAAACUCACAAUUGAUCAAAAUAAAGACUGAGGUGGCCAGAACUAGAAUCCCUGCACUACAGGUAUAGCCCAUACAAUCUUACAAUCUUCCUGGUAGUGUAAUUUUUUUCUUAUUAGUGUAUAUCAGUUAUAUACAGUGUAUAUACAGUGAGUUUCAUCAUGACACUUUUAUACAUGUGCUUCAUGUAUUUUUAUUAUACUUGCUUCCUAUACCCUCUCUUGUCCUCUCCCUACUUCCACUGAUUUCCUUACUCUUUCUUCUUUGUGUGUGUGUGUGUGUGUGUGUGUGUGUGUGUGUGU
Molecule: long non-coding RNA, 1531 nt
Filed under: Mus musculus (house mouse)
Lineage: Eukaryota; Metazoa; Chordata; Mammalia; Rodentia; Muridae
Description: long non-coding RNA chr12:3368428-3369959
Source: RNAcentral